Molecule: long non-coding RNA, 209 nt
Filed under: Lathyrus oleraceus (garden pea)
Lineage: Eukaryota; Viridiplantae; Streptophyta; Magnoliopsida; Fabales; Fabaceae
Description: Pisum sativum (pea) long non-coding RNA (PSAT_LNC007249)
Source: RNAcentral
AAUCUUGACAGGAAACAACAUAGGAAAACGAGCUUUCUUGCCCAAAAUUAAAAUAAAAACAUUUGCAAGAGAUGAUUUUCCUUUUGUCCUUACUAGAACGUAGUUUCUUGUGCGACUAAGUUUCGAAAUUACAAUAAAUAAAUCACAAGAACAAAUCAAUCCAAAUAUUGGAAUAUGUCUUCUACGGCAUGUUUUCAGUUAUAGACAAU